Mustela erminea (ermine) is the source of this 410-nucleotide long non-coding RNA. RefSeq lists it as uncharacterized. The record is from RefSeq and is a predicted model, not a curated record. The transcript is spliced from 6 exons. Lineage: Eukaryota; Metazoa; Chordata; Mammalia; Carnivora; Mustelidae.
AAUGCAGGAUUUCAGUGUACUUAAAUACAUCCGUGCUCAGGAAAAGCACCUCAUCUCUUGGGGCUUCAGACUUCCAGUCUCUGACUCUCGAGUCUCAUCUUGGAUAACAGGACUCAGUCAAAUAUGAAGAUCUUUGUCUUUGCCUUUAUCAUGGUUCUCAUGGUUGCCAUGAUCGGAGCUGAUUCGUCUGAAGAGAAAUACAGGAACUAUUUUCCUCGUCUUAAUAGGUAUCCAGCAACUUGGCCAUAUCAACCUUAUCAACCUUAUCCUUAUCCUUAUCCUUAUCCUUAUCCUUAUCCUUAUGGUCAGUAACCCCAGGACACGGUCACAAAGGCUUGGCGGAAAGUCUUAUUUUUCUCUCUUACUCAUGAUGAUUCUUCCUAUUCAGAAAUCCUUUACCCAUCUAGUCA